AAAUUGAAGAGUUUGAUCAUGGCUCAGAUUGAACGCUGGCGGCAGGCCUAACACAUGCAAGUCGAGCGGAAACGACAACAUUGAAUCUUCGGAGGAUUUGUUGGGCGUCGAGCGGCGGACGGGUGAGUAAUGCCUAGGAAAUUGCCUUGAUGUGGGGGAUAACCAUUGGAAACGAUGGCUAAUACCGCAUAAUGCCUACGGGCCAAAGAGGGGGAUCUUCGGACCUCUCGCGUCAAGAUAUGCC
This 244-nucleotide ribosomal RNA is filed under the name Vibrio splendidus. Its description in RNAcentral is "partial 16S ribosomal RNA". It matches the Rfam family "Bacterial small subunit ribosomal RNA", at positions 1 to 231 of the family's 1533-position model. The record is from RNAcentral. RNAcentral also lists the same sequence under 1 other name. Lineage: Bacteria; Pseudomonadati; Pseudomonadota; Gammaproteobacteria; Vibrionales; Vibrionaceae.